This is a long non-coding RNA of Otolemur garnettii (small-eared galago), 817 nucleotides long. RefSeq lists it as uncharacterized. NCBI's taxonomy places the organism in Eukaryota, Metazoa, Chordata, Mammalia, Primates, Galagidae. The transcript has 3 exons. The record is from RefSeq and is a predicted model, not a curated record.
AGCUCGCCUUGGCUCGCUGGCCAGGGCCGGAGCUCCUCAGGAGAGCCGAGGCGCCCACGCGAGAAUCCCGCACCUGGGUCUCUCUUCAGGAAUGAAAUCAUCUGUUGACCUCCUUGUCUUUGAAGACCAACCCCCCUCAACGAAGACCAACUCUCCUCAACGAAGACCAACCCCCCUCAACGCCAAGCUGCCACCAAGCUGCUCCUUUACAUCUUAAAGUACUUCCACCCCUCCUUGUGGCAUUUCAGAGGACACUAGAUGCACGGAUUCCUGGAUCCCGUCAGGAAUACAAAGCAGCCACAAGCAAAUCCCCAGAACCAGGACAGCAAAGGAUGAAGGGGACCAGAACUGACCAGCCAGCUGUCCCACUCAGCUAAAGACAUAAAACCAAUGCCCUAGUGAGGGGGCAUUGGUCGUUAAAACCUGACUAUGCCUAUACCUUGAUUCUCUGUCUACUUUCCUGUACAUCUCUGCCUGUGUUAACCUGUUUGCUAGCUAACUGGAGUGUUUCCCUCCCCAAGGGGGUGUCAGUCUUUCUCGACUGACUCUGUUGCCUUUAUGAUGUCCAAAAUGGAAGGAUCUGUUUGAGAACUUCUCAGGAGGGGGACCUGGGCCAAGGGCUUGACAAACAUCUCACUGGCAAUUCCAAGGCCCUGGGUGGGCUUCUGGAAUGAGCAUGUUACUAAACCACCAAAGGCAUGACCAACCUCUUUUGAGGUCUCCCUGUCCUUUUCUAGGGAAUGGGGAUCAUAGAAGCAACCUCCUAGGGUUGUUGUGAGAAUUAAAUGAGAUCAAGCAGCCUCAGGCAGGGUUGGUC